GAAAAUAUAAAUAAUGAAAUAAUUGACAAUUAUCAUCAGAUAGUUUGAAAUUAUACCGCAAUUUUCUAAUGGAUAUUAAAAAAUUCAUCUGAGACAUUUACAUUCUUUAGUUUUUUUUGGACGUGUACAUACGCUUGGUAAUGGAUGCAUUUGCGUUAACAAUUGCCUAUAGGCACCCAUUCAAAAUGGGCAGAUUUGACCCGUCUCACAAAAGAGAAGCAUAUUGCUGAUGUAAUUACGGCUUAAAAGAUUGAAACGCAAACAGUAAAAAGGGGCUCUUUGGCGUACAAUGGAUUCAAGUGUCGCUUUCGAAGGUUCAAUUUGAAUUUAAAAUAAUUUCGAUAGAAAAAAUAGUUUACGAUCAAUUGUAACGAUUUUAUCACUUUUUCGGCUAGUAUAAUCCAAUAUAGUUAUCAUAAUCAAUCUAA
Molecule: long non-coding RNA, 428 nt
Organism: Sitodiplosis mosellana (orange wheat blossom midge)
Lineage: Eukaryota; Metazoa; Arthropoda; Insecta; Diptera; Cecidomyiidae
Exons: 2
Source: RefSeq, a predicted model, not a curated record